UACGUAGGUGGCAAGCGUUGUCCGGAAUUACUGGGUGUAAAGGGAGCGCAGGCGGGAAGCCAAGUCAGCUGUGAAAACUACGGGCUUAACUUGUAGACUGCAGUUGAAACUGGUUUUCUUGAGUGAAGUAGAGGUUGGCGGAAUUCCGAGUGUAGCGGUGAAAUGCGUAGAUAUUCGGAGGAACACCGGUUGCGAAGGCGGCCAACUGGGCUUUAACUGACGCUGAGGCUCGAAAGUGUGGGGAGCAAACAGG
RNAcentral lists this ribosomal RNA (253 nucleotides) under uncultured bacterium. Its description in RNAcentral is "partial 16S ribosomal RNA". It matches the Rfam family "Bacterial small subunit ribosomal RNA", at positions 524 to 776 of the family's 1533-position model. The record is from RNAcentral.